AACGAACGCUGGCGGCAGGCCUAACACAUGCAAGUCGAACGCUCUAGCACUAGAGAGAGGCGCACGGGUGCGUAACGCGUGGGAAUAUGCCCUUGACUACGGAACAACGUCUGGAAACUGACGCUAAUACCGUAUAAUGUCCUAGGACCAUAGAUUUAUCGGUCAAGGAUUAGCCCGCGUCUGAUUAGCUAGUUGGUGAGGUAACGGCUCACCAAGGCGACGAUCAGUAGCUGGUCUGAGAGGAUGAACAGCCACACUGAGACUGAGACACGGCCCAGACUCCUACGGGAGGCAGCAGUGAGGAGUAUUGGACGAUGGAGGCAACUCUGAUCCAGCCAUGCCGCGUGAGUGACGAAGGCCUUCGGGUUGUAAAGCUCUUUCAGAUGCGAAGAUAAUGACGGUAACAUCAGAAGAAGCCCCGGCUAAAUUCGUGCCAGCCGCCGCGGUAA
Molecule: ribosomal RNA, 449 nt
Filed under: uncultured bacterium
Lineage: Bacteria
Description: partial 16S ribosomal RNA
Rfam family: Bacterial small subunit ribosomal RNA
Source: RNAcentral